AUAGCCUGCCCAGUGACACAUGUUUAACGGCCGCGGUAUCCUAACCGUGCGAAGGUAGCGUAAUCACUUGUUCUUUAAAUGAGGACUAGUAUGAACGGCACCACGAAGGUUAUACUGUCUCCUUUCUCCAAUCAGUAAAACUAAUCUCCCCGUGAAGAAGCGAGGAUAAAUUUAUAAGACGAGAAGACCCUAUGGAGCUUUAAACUAACCAGCAUUUGCUAUAUACAAAUUUUAACUUUAGACAAUCUAGCCCUCUGACUGGUAAUUUUCGAUUGGGGUGAUCACGGAACAAAAAAUAACCUCCGUGUCGAAAGGAUAAACCUGAGCAAAAAGCGACAGCUUUCCGCACUAAAAAAUUAACGUUCAUUGACCCAAUAUUUUGAUCAACGAACCAAGUUACCCUAGGGAUAACAGCGCAAUCUACUUCAAGAGUCCCUAUCGACAAGUAGGUUUACGACCUCGAUGUUGGAUCAGGGUACCCCAGUGGUGCAGCCGCUACUAAAGGUUCGUUUGUUCAACGAUUAAUACCCUACGUGAUCUGA
Molecule: ribosomal RNA, 542 nt
Filed under: Hypsiboas punctatus A
Lineage: Eukaryota; Metazoa; Chordata; Amphibia; Anura; Hylidae
Description: partial 16S ribosomal RNA
Rfam family: Bacterial large subunit ribosomal RNA
Source: RNAcentral